Molecule: long non-coding RNA, 5516 nt
Organism: Acanthaster planci (crown-of-thorns starfish)
Lineage: Eukaryota; Metazoa; Echinodermata; Asteroidea; Valvatida; Acanthasteridae
Source: RefSeq, a predicted model, not a curated record
UAAAACUUAAGACUCUAAAAAUUUAAGCUAAUAAUGAAUAUAAUUUUUUCUGGAGAAAGAGGUUAAGGUAGUUACAUGUCAAAUUUAGCAAAAUGUAGAAUAAAUUGUGAGCAUUGGUAGAGAUGAGAGCUGCAGGUGAAUGAGAUGUGAGAAACCGAGCAGAUAGCUGCGAGUAGCGAGGACAAACUGUUGCGCGCGAUGGAGAGAAAUCUAAUUGGGAAUGUUAAAUAAUUUUAGUAGAGUGUCAAAAUAGUAAAGCAAUUAUAAACAAGUUAUACUGAGUUUACAUCAAGGACAAUGCCUGGUACGUUGUCUACAGAAUGGCCUGUGGCUCCAGAGUUCGUAAAAAUAGCUGGAUAUUUCUGCCCUUUAUAAACUGAUGUCGUUGACAAGGUUAACGGUCGUUAAUUGAAGAACCUGCGAAGGAGACGAAGGUGGACAAUGGAAAAUAGAUGCUUCGAUGUAAUUGAUUGCAGGGUAUGUUAACUCGGUAAUUUAUCAGUAAUAAUAUAUUAGCAUUGCCUGGUGCUUUGCUACACCGUUGUCAAUAUUUAUAGUAAAGGUUAUGGUGUAAAGUUUAAUAUUAUGCAUUCCUUUGAUAUUAUUAGCUAAAAUUUCUGAGAAAAUUACUGUCCAUUAGAAUAGUGCCCAUUAAAGGCCAAAGUGAUCGCCCAGUAAUAACAGUCGACAUAGAUACACCCUUGAUGGGACCGAGGCGAGUUUCCAGUGUAAAGCUAGCAUGAAAUUCGUUUAAAUUUUGUUGUUAGCUUCUCAAUGCAUAUUGGCACAACUACUUUGGUUCCUGUUCAAUUUGAGGAAUGAGUCACCUUGAGAACCAAGCAAAAAAGAAGUAAGCUUGAAGCUACGUUGGAUUUUAAACUGAGAAACAGUUGCAAAAGUGCACAAUGGAUGUUUAAAGAACCUUUUUUAGAUCGGAGAAGUUAACAGCAGUGCCUUGUGCGUUAUCUUCAUGUCUCUUCGAAAGAACCUCUUCAAAGAAGUCCAUACUCUCAAGCAAAGAAGAGCAGACAGCUACUCAGUUACUUAUUAAUUUAAUUAUGCUAAUAAUCAUUUGCACAUUGACAACAACAGAUGUAAGGAAUAGUUAUACUUAACGACUACAGUAAGAUAAGAACAAGACGACUGUGGGGCAUCAUUUCUUUGGCAAAGGUACAUUACCCAUGGCGUGUAAUAUGACAACUUCGAGAGAUCCCUCCCCUCAAGCGCACAAUUAAUGAAGGCAUUUUCAGCGCAUUUGUUCGAUUCAGUUGGUUGAUCAACAAAAUGAAGGUGUCAUUCAUCUUGAAGUUAUUGACAGGCGAUGCCUUAAGCGUCUCCAGAUUACACACUUCUAGAAUUUACAGAUGUAUAACUUAAGAACGGCAAGACGAGAGCCUUCGUAAACGAAAAAUUUGACGAGGCCGCUGUCUUUGUGUGGCGAUGAAUUUGAAGUAAAAUAUUCGAAAUAGUAGAUUAAACAUAAAAUACAAUUGGAACAACUUUCCAAGGAGCCCUCCUCUUAGUUAUUUCUUUUUACGGGAAGCAAUGAUUUUGUGAAGCAACAGAUGGGACCGGAAUGAAAAUCCCGUUGCUUGUGUGUUCAUAUAAAAUAAAGAAUGUAAUAACUGUACACAUAAUAAUGUGUAGUAUGUUGUGUCACUUACAACGACAAAUGCUCGACGGGUGUCCAAUGAAUUGAUGGCCCCGUUUUAGAACAUGUAAGCUCUUUUUUGGGUGUUUAUCCGGGUGAAAAUCUUUCGUACCUCUCAAUAUCGUCCUCGUUCCCCUGAUCUCUCCCGCUAAAAGAGUAUAAAAGAUGGGAAUGGAAUCCCAGUGCUCAGAUGUACAGUCGUUGGGAGAGUGUUGAAACUUGACCAUUGACAGCACUUAUUUCAGGUUGUAAGAAGUAUUCGAAUGAGUGUCAUGCAGCCCUGUGGAAAAAUGAACAUCAGGAAAGAAAGAGAACAAAGUUUUUAAAAGGUCUCGAUGUCACUCGAUGUAAACAACUAUUUUAUUAGAUCCGAAUUACUGUUUGCAAUGUGCCUUUGUAAUGAUGCAGACUUAAGAUUGAAGAUGUGUUGAAAUACUCUGGGCCAUUUGGGCAACGCAAUUUUUAAGACUGCACCUGGAAGUUUUCUUACUUUCUGUCAGCCUGAGGUUAACGGUUACAAAAAAGGUCAAACCCUUUAAUAGUGCCAGGGCGCCCUCAAUGUGGAAUCGAGACGGUUUUUCUGCGAAUGAGAAAAUAAGUUCUUUAUGAAAGUGUAAAAUUUACCUGAAGUGGUGCUGCGACUUGGAAACGUCUUCACGGUACAUGUAAUGAACCGAUGAAAGCUAAUCCAAAGACAAGGCAAAACAAUCUUGAAUCAUAAACGAAAUAACAAAAAAAAAUACUUACGAAAUGUGAUGCAGCGACAAGUCGAUUAAUAAAACAAAUUAAAUCAACUCAGUGGUAACAGAAAUGUUAUUACGUGUUCCCAAACUAUGAAAUUGACAACCCUUCAAAACAUAUGCUUUGUGCUUUUGUGUGGUGUUUUAUUUCAAGUUGUAUUAUCGUUAUUGAGUAACCGAUGGGGCAUAAUUGAUGGGUGCUUAUGUUAACGUUUUUCACAGGUGUCAAAAUGGUUCUUAUUGAUUCAUUUUUUCUUUCAAAAACGACGUAAGGACAAAAUCAAUGUCAAAAUGUCUAAAGGAUGCGUACCAGCUCUGCGAAUGUAGAUGUUUAAAGCCAGUGGCUACAGAUGGCUUGGGCGAUAUCAUCCUUUCUAAUUUUCCAUCCAAAAUAUCUGUAAAGAAAUAAUGUAAACUGUGAUUGUAUUAGCAAAAGAGAGGAAUAUUGUCUAUAAAAGGGUAGCUGUAACUCCCAAGGAUGGCUCAAUGAUUCUGACUGAUUCCAUGACUGAGUUCAAAAUGUGGCCGCUAGUUGAUAUAGCCAUUUUGUGCAUCCCUUGUAUAUUUAUGAAAAGUUCGAUAACCAAAGUUCCUGCAGGCUAAUAAGUAAUUUUCUAUUGUCAGAGAGUUUCUACACUUUGUUUUUGUUGCCGCGAGCAUUGCUAUUGACAAACUAGUCUAAUUUCGAUGCUCCCGUAGCGUCAGCUAAUUCGGGAGAAAUCCACUUUUAGGUAGGGGGCCGUAAGGAAGAAACUUAACAUUUUAAAAGCAGUUGCUUUUACACCUGUUGACAGAAGCACUCUAAAAUUGAGCAACUAAUAUGAGACCUACGUACCUAUUCUCAUUUCUGUGAAAUCAGAUUAGCAUCAGUCAGUGAUCCUCUUUUUUGAUAGUAUAUAUUUCCUGAAUUUUUCAGGGUUUAAUUCGACCGACCAUCACGCUAUGGAAUUAAGGAACUUUCAAAAAUCUGAAAUAGUUCAAGGUAAUCUAUGCGAGAAACUUGACCGCCAGUGGGCCUGACCUAAGACCAUUAGGACCUUUUUAUGUCAGUCGGCCUGAUUGUAGACCAUUAGUUCCAAUCGUAGACUAGUAUGCCUAUUCGUAAACCAGUGCGCCUAUUCAUAAAAAUAGGCCUAAUUGUAAACAGCUGUAGGCCUAUAAUUGUACACCAGUAUGCCUAAUCGUAAACCACUGUAGGCCUAAUUUUAGACAACCAGGCCUAAUUGUAGACCACUAGGCCUAAUCGUAGACCAAUAGGCCUAAUUAAAGACCACUAGGCCUAAUUGUAGACCACUAGGCCUAAUCGUACACCACUAGGCCUGAUCGAAGACCAGUAGGCCUAUUCAUAAACCAGUGGGCCUAAUUAGAGACCAGAAGGCCUAACUGUAGACCAGCAGGUCUAAUCGUGGACCAGUUGUUGUUGUUGUAUACCACGCAGUAGGCCAAGUCGUAGAUCAGUAGUCCUAGUAGUAAAAGGCCUAGUCCUGGACCAGUGUUGAGUAGGCUUAAACGUUGACCAGGAGGCCUUCACCAGUAGGUUUAACCAUAGACCAGUAGGCUUAAUUUUAUACCAAUAGAACUGAUCAAAUUUUUUAACAACUGGAUUUUCGACAACACGGACGUAUGUUGCCUACGUAAUCAGUUGCAAUAGAGCAAGCAAAAUUGCUUGAGAGGCUUACUGCAUAUUGAGUUGGCUGAAUGUCGUACCUAGACGUCAGCUGAACAUUUUAGACAAAUUAUUUCCACGCCUGGGCACCUCAAUGCAAGUUGAGUUGAAAUGAUCAAAACCACAUUGCAAUUAAUCACAUUAACCGAACCUAGCUCCGCUAGGAAGAUUCCUUUUUGUCAGUCCAUUUUCAGCCACCAGCAGUAUCACCUCAAAUCGCUGGGGGCAUCACGGACCAGGAACCGGAAGCAGGAAGGAGGAACGACCAGUGACAGAUGACCUGCUUGCUGGGCAACCCAUUUCUUCUUGAUGAGCCAGACAUGCAGAGCGCAGAGCUUCGAUUUCACUCGUGGUGAUCGACGGAGGAAGGAAACAACUCAAGAGGAUGACAGGUCAGAGACAGAUUUUCCCUGUUGCUUACUUCAAGUGAUGACGGCUUUGAUGACAUAUUACGGAGGAGGAGUAUAGAACUAUAGGGAAGGACCACUCAAGUUUUAAACACUUAAACAGAGACUGCGGGAGAUCGUAAGGAUAGAGCUACUUUUCACGAAUAUUUUUGACAGUGGAUAGGCCAUAAAGCUACCCCCAUAUUCUUUAAUAAUGGUAGAUUCUGCAUCAACUUACUACUAAAACUUUCAGAAAUAUAGUUUUAUACGCGUACAGGUUAAUUUUUUUAAAAAUAAAUGACUAUGUAACAUGUAAUAAAUAGCGCCCCCAGUGGAACAAAAUACCAGCCCCUACCUUCCUCAUCGUCUUUUAGUCUUGUCGACCCAGGAGUCCUCAUUUUCCUUUUUUUAAAAUUCUCGAGGUAGUCGAUCCAAAAGAUAAAAGUUCGUGGCGUUAAUCUGUGCUGGAAAUAGGAGGGGAUGGGAGAUGGGGAAAGGUUUGGGGGUGGCAUGAACAUUUGAAAAGCGGAGGGGUGACAUAAUACGGGGUCGAUGUUCACGAUAUAAAUGUUUACCUGUAAUAUAUUCACAAUAACAUAUUUGUGGCUUUUUAAAUUGUCCUCCUUUUUUGGAAUGAUAGUAAAUGCGUUUUAGUCGUUGGAAGUCUGAAAAAGUUUCAAAAUUAACUUUAAUUUUUGCUUACCACGAAAAAGUGGGGGAUGAUCCAAUAGCCCAUCUCUCAAAAAGUGGGGGGAAAUAUACCCCCACCCGCCCCGGGAUUUACGCUCGUCAAAGUAUAUCGUCCCUCUAAACGGUGGCUGAAAGGGGGGGCUGAAGGGGCGACUUAUUCCUUUUCCAAACAUUUCCCAAAGUUGACAUAAUUAUCCGUUAACAAUUACCGUAAUUUUAUCCUAUCCAGUUGGUUUUGACCAAGGGAAGUCAAAACUAAAUUCGCCCUGUCUUAAUCACGAGAGGGCGCCCUUAUGAUUUCAAAAUAAGUCUUUGCAUCGAUCUAUGACUUAAGUUCACUGUAAAUAACAGCGUGAAGCAAAAAACACCUUGAUUUGGAUCAC